UAAAAACCCCGACUUCGGAAGGGGUGUAUUUAAUAGAUACAAAACCAAUGCCCUUCGGGGCUCUUUGGUGAUUCAUGAUAACUAUACGAAUCGCACGGCCUUGCGCCGGCGAUGGUUCAUUCAAAUUUCUUCCCUAUCAACUUUCGAUGUUUGGGUAUUGGCCAAACAUGGUUGCAACGGGUAACGGAGGGUUAGGGCUCGACCCCGGAGAAGGAGCCUGAGAAACGGCUACUACAUCCAAGGAAGGCAGCAGGCGCGCAAAUUACCCAAUCCCGACUCGGGGAGGUAGUGACAAUAAAUACUGAUACAGGGCCCUUUCGGGCCUUGUAAUUGGAAUGAGUACAAUUUAAAUCCCUUAACGAGGAACAAUUGGAGGGCAAGUCUGGUGCCAGCAGCCGCGGUAAUUCCAGCUCCAAUAGCGUAUAUUAAAGUUGUUGUGGUUAAAAAGCUCGUAGUUGAACCUUGGGCCUGGCUGGCCGGUCCGCCUCACCGCGUGCACUGGUCCGGCCGGGCCUUUCCCUCUGUGGAACCCCAUACCCUUCACUGGGCGUGGCGGGGAAACAGGACAUUUACUUU
This 576-nucleotide ribosomal RNA is filed under the name uncultured eukaryote. RNAcentral describes it as "SSU rRNA". It matches the Rfam family "Eukaryotic small subunit ribosomal RNA", at positions 174 to 758 of the family's 1831-position model. The record is from RNAcentral.